AACCUUAUGGACCUGCGGGCGUAUACCUGCGGAGGGAUCAUUACCGAGUUUACAACUCCCAAACCCCUGUGAACAUACCUAUACGUUGCCUCGGCGGAUCAGCCCGCGCCCCGUAAAAAGGGACGGCCCGCCCGAGGACCCCUAAACUCUGUUUUUAGUGGAACUUCUGAGUAAAACAAACAAAUAAAUCAAAACUUUUAGCAACGGAUCU
Molecule: unclassified non-coding RNA, 211 nt
Filed under: soil metagenome
Description: partial contains 5.8S ribosomal RNA, internal transcribed spacer 2, and large subunit ribosomal RNA
Source: RNAcentral